Molecule: ribosomal RNA, 434 nt
Filed under: uncultured bacterium
Lineage: Bacteria
Description: partial 16S ribosomal RNA
Rfam family: Bacterial small subunit ribosomal RNA
Source: RNAcentral
AGCGAACGCUGGCGGCAGGCCUAACACAUGCAAGUCGAACGAACCUUUCGGGGUUAGUGGCGGACGGGUGAGUAACACGUGGGAACGUGCCUUUAGGUUCGGAAUAACUCAGGGAAAUUUGUGCUAAUACCGAAUGUUCCCUUCGGGGGAAAGAUUAAUCGCCUUUAGAGCGGCCCGCGUCUGAUUAGCUAGUUGGUUGAGGUAAUGGCUCACCAAGGCGACGAUCAGUAGCUGGUCUGAGAGGAUGAUCAGCCACAUUGGGACUGAGACACGGCCCAAACUCCUACGGGAGGCAGCAGUGGGGAAUCUUGCGCAAUGCGCGAAAGCCUGACGCAGCCAUGCCGCGUGAAUGAUGAAGGUCUUAGGAUUGUAAAAUUCUUUAACCGGGGACGAUAAUGACGGUACCCGGAGAAGAAGCCCCGGCUAACUUCGUG